GGAGGUAUGGCUCAGUGGUAGAGUGCACGCCUGACAUGCAUGAGGUCCUGGGUUCAAUCCCCAGUGCCUCUG
Molecule: transfer RNA, 72 nt
Filed under: Camelus bactrianus (Bactrian camel)
Lineage: Eukaryota; Metazoa; Chordata; Mammalia; Artiodactyla; Camelidae
Also listed under: 1 other name
Rfam family: tRNA
About the family: Transfer RNA (tRNA) molecules are approximately 80 nucleotides in length.
Source: Rfam by way of RNAcentral